AUGAACGCUGGCGGCGUGCCUAAUACAUGCAAGUCGAACGCUUUGUGGUUCAACUGAUUUGAAGAGCUUGCUCAGAUAUGACGAUGGACAUUGCAAAGAGUGGCGAACGGGUGAGUAACACGUGGGAAACCUACCUCUUAGCAGGGGAUAACAUUUGGAAACAGAUGCUAAUACCGUAUAACAAUGACAACCGCAUGGUUGUUAUUUAAAAGAUGGUUCUGCUAUCACUAAGAGAUGGUCCCGCGGUGCAUUAGCUAGUUGGUAAGGUAAUGGCUUACCAAGGCGAUGAUGCAUAGCCGAGUUGAGAGACUGAUCGGCCACAAUGGGACUGAGACACGGCCCAUACUCCUACGGGAGGCAGCAGUAGGGAAUCUUCCACAAUGGGCGAAAGCCUGAUGGAGCAACGCCGCGUGUGUGAUGAAGGGUUUCGGCUCGUAAAACACUGUUGUAAGAGAAGAAUGACAUUGAGAGUAACUGUUCAAUGUGUGACGGUAUCUUACCAGAAAGGAACGGCUAAAUACGUGCCAGCAGCCGCGGUAAUACGUAUGUUCCAAGCGUUAUCCGGAUUUAUUGGGCGUAAAGCGAGCGCAGACGGUUAUUUAAGUCUGAAGUGAAAGCCCUCAGCUCAACUGAGGAAUUGCUUUGGAAACUGGAUGACUUGAGUGCAGUAGAGGAAAGUGGAACUCCAUGUGUAGCGGUGAAAUGCGUAGAUAUAUGGAAGAACACCAGUGGCGAAGGCGGCUUUCUGGACUGUAACUGACGUUGAGGCUCGAAAGUGUGGGUAGCAAACAGGAUUAGAUACCCUGGUAGUCCACACCGUAAACGAUGAGUGCUAGGUGUUUGAGGGUUUCCGCCCUUAAGUGCCGCAGCUAACGCAUUAAGCACUCCGCCUGGGGAGUACGACCGCAAGGUUGAAACUCAAAGGAAUUGACGGGGACCCGCACAAGCGGUGGAGCAUGUGGUUUAAUUCGAAGCAACGCGAAGAACCUUACCAGGUCUUGACAUCCCUUGACAACUCCAGAGAUGGAGUGUUCCCUUCGGGGACAAGGUGACAGGUGGUGCAUGGUUGUCGUCAGCUCGUGUCGUGAGAUGUUGGGUUAAGUCCCGCAACGAGCGCAACCCUUAUUACUAGUUGCCAGCAUUCAGUUGGGCACUCUAGUGAGACUGCCGGUGACAAACCGGAGGAAGGUGGGGAUGACGUCAAAUCAUCAUGCCCCUUAUGACCUGGGCUACACACGUGCUACAAUGGCGUAUACAACGAGUUGCCAACCCGCGAGGGUGAGCUAAUCUCUUAAAGUACGUCUCAGUUCGGAUUGUAGGCUGCAACUCGCCUACAUGAAGUCGGAAUCGCUAGUAAUCGCGGAUCAGCACGCCGCGGUGAAUACGUUCCCGGGUCUUGUACACACCGCCCGUCACACCAUGAGAGUUUGUAACACCCAAAGCCGGUGGGGUAACCUUCGGGAGCCAGCCGUCUAAGGUGGGACAGAUGAUUAGGGUGAA
This 1500-nucleotide ribosomal RNA is filed under the name Weissella confusa. RNAcentral describes it as "bacterial SSU rRNA". It matches the Rfam family "Bacterial small subunit ribosomal RNA". Lineage: Bacteria; Bacillati; Bacillota; Bacilli; Lactobacillales; Lactobacillaceae. The record is from RNAcentral.